This 250-nucleotide ribosomal RNA is filed under the name uncultured bacterium. RNAcentral's name for it is "partial 16S ribosomal RNA". It matches the Rfam family "Bacterial small subunit ribosomal RNA", at positions 786 to 1031 of the family's 1533-position model. The record is from RNAcentral.
CCUGGUAGUCCACGCCGUAAACGAUGAUAACUAGCUGUCCGGGUUCAUGGAAUUUGGGUGGCGCAGCUAACGCAUUAAGUUAUCCGCCUGGGGAGUACGGUCGCAAGAUUAAAACUCAAAGGAAUUGACGGGGGCCUGCACAAGCGGUGGAGCAUGUGGUUUAAUUCGAAGCAACGCGCAGACCUUACCAGCGUUUUGACAUCCCGAUCGCGGAUUUGAGAGAUCAUUUCCUUCAGUUUGGCUGGAUCGG